Stegodyphus mimosarum is the source of this 61-nucleotide non-coding RNA. NCBI's taxonomy places the organism in Eukaryota, Metazoa, Arthropoda, Arachnida, Araneae, Eresidae. The record is from Rfam.
UGUUUUUAAUGAAAGGCUAUACGUAAACUACUAUGGCUGUAUAGUUUCGAUGUUUCAAACA